Molecule: long non-coding RNA, 839 nt
Filed under: Salvia miltiorrhiza (redroot sage)
Lineage: Eukaryota; Viridiplantae; Streptophyta; Magnoliopsida; Lamiales; Lamiaceae
Description: long non-coding RNA (SMIL_LNC008804)
Source: RNAcentral
GAGACCUAUUACGAUUAUAGAUUUUUUGUAGGCUUUGUGGAUCGUGAGGACUAGCGUUGCUAUUCCGAUUCAGAGUUAAGAAUAAACGACAAGCAUUGCCUAAUCAGGUGAGCUUAUUUUACAAAUGUAUGAUUUAGCUAUUGAGCUUAAAUAUUUCAAUGAAAUACAAACUGUUUAUCCGAUAAAAUAUUUUUGUGCACUCUGCUCUGUUUAAGGUUCGCAUAAGUUAAUCGAUCGAGGUUCUCUCUUGACCUAACACGUUAUUUGAGAAUUGUGUACACCUAUUAGCUAACUCAGUGGGUUGAUAUCCAUUCGGGCACUAAUCAUGUAUGAAGCGUUACAAGGGUGCUCGACGGGAUGUGUUCCGGAGCAUUAGGUCCCAAAUGGGAACUUGGCUGAGUUACGGCCUCAGUUCAAGUGAGUAGGAGUAAUGGAUCCGUCGGUGGCUAAAAGGUCCGGGAUCACAACGAGUAACGAAAAGGGAGUGUGACAAUUGCGCGCAAAUAUAUAAAAUGUUUUAACAUGCUUAGAAGUUAUUUCACUUUAAAACUUUCUAAGUCAUAUCAAGUAUAAUUGGAUAAACUGCUCUUAUGAAUUAUGAAAUGUUUUAAAAGUUGCAGCCCACUAAGUACAUUAGUACUUAGCCUAAAAAUACUUUCAAAUAUUUUUCAGGUUGAUUGGUCGGUGCUGACAAGGCAGAGCUGAGGCUGGGGUUCAACUCCGUAUUUUGUCUUCCGCUGUUGCACUAGCUCUUAUUGUCUUUUGUCUCUCUAACUUAAGACUUUUAUGUUAAAUUCUGAAUUAUGUUUCUUAUCGAGCUUAGACUCUCAACUUCUAGC